AAUUUCUAUAACGUUAUUCAUUCCUGAGAUCGCGGGUGGUGGAUUUCCUUCCGAUAUGAUUAAUAAUUCUAAUGAUAUAUAUAUAUAUCGAACGAUAUCAGUUAUGAAGUAUUAGUACUUACUCAGAAUGUUGAGCGUCAAGUAUUUGAUUCCAGUAUUUUUACUUUUUAUAACACUAGCGUUAGUGUACGAAGCCUCUGGGGAUCCUAUGUUUAUACCCGAUAAUCAUCGAUACCGAUGCAGACCAGGUACAAGAUUCUUACUGGGGAGAUGCAGAAAAAUGGUAUUCGGUACACAAUAAUCAUCCCAUAUCAUACUGGAAAGGCAUCAACCAAUUUACAGUAUUUUAAGUAAAUGUGUCCCGUUUUAUGAAUAAUAAAGUUUCUAUUUAAGCAAU
Molecule: long non-coding RNA, 397 nt
Organism: Leptinotarsa decemlineata (Colorado potato beetle)
Lineage: Eukaryota; Metazoa; Arthropoda; Insecta; Coleoptera; Chrysomelidae
Source: RefSeq, a predicted model, not a curated record